UGGGGAAUAUUGGACAAUGGGCGCAAGCCUGAUCCAGCCAUGCCGCGUGAGUGAUGAAGGCCCUAGGGUUGUAAAGCUCUUUCGGCGGGGACGAUAAUGACGGUACCCGCAGAAGAAGCCCCGGCUAACUUCGUGCCAGCAGCCGCGGUAAUACGAAGGGGGCUAGCGUUGUUCGGAAUCACUGGGCGUAAAGGGCGCGUAGGCGGCUAUUCAAGUCGGGGGUGAAAGCCUGUGGCUCAACCACAGAAUUGCCUUCGAUACUGUUUGGCUUGAGACCGGAAGAGGACAGCGGAACUGCGAGUGUAGAGGUGAAAUUCGUAGAUAUUCGCAAGAACACCAGUGGCGAAGGCGGCUGUCUGGUCCGGUUCUGACGCUGAGGCGCGAAAGCGUGGGGAGCAAACA
This 402-nucleotide ribosomal RNA is filed under the name uncultured Microvirga sp. RNAcentral's name for it is "bacterial SSU rRNA". It matches the Rfam family "Bacterial small subunit ribosomal RNA", at positions 355 to 774 of the family's 1533-position model. The record is from RNAcentral. Lineage: Bacteria; Pseudomonadati; Pseudomonadota; Alphaproteobacteria; Hyphomicrobiales; Methylobacteriaceae.